CCCCAGUGUAGGAUUGAAGGUGUCAUGCA
This 29-nucleotide non-coding RNA is filed under the name Mus musculus (house mouse). The record is from RNAcentral. Lineage: Eukaryota; Metazoa; Chordata; Mammalia; Rodentia; Muridae.